UUAUAAGCAACCUUUUGAAUAAAAUAAGAUCGACAUAAUUAUUUUUUUUAUUUUUUAAAUCUAAGUAAAUAAAUUGUAGAUUUUAAUUUAUUUAUAUUUUUUUUAGAAUUAUCUAUAAAAAAAAUCCUAAAAGUAUCCAACUAAUAUUUUAGUUGUAGUUUAAGAGUUAAAUUAAUCAUAACACUUGAAUUAAUAUCAUAAUAUUAUUUUAUUAAGGGAUAACGAAAG
Molecule: long non-coding RNA, 228 nt
Filed under: Gossypium barbadense (sea-island cotton)
Lineage: Eukaryota; Viridiplantae; Streptophyta; Magnoliopsida; Malvales; Malvaceae
Description: long non-coding RNA (GBAR_LNC018131)
Source: RNAcentral